GCUAAAAACAUAGCCCAACCCCCCCCCCCCCAUGAACCUUAAAAUCAAUACCUUCUUUCCCCACACUAAAACAUUUUACCAACCCAGUAGAGGCGAUCGAAAAAUUUAUUGGAGCAAUAAAUGCUGUACCGCAAGGGAGAAGUGAAAUAAAAAUGAAAUAAACAAUUAAGCACAAAUAAGUAGAGACCCCCCCUCGUACCUUUCGCAUCAUGGUUUAACUAGUCAUAACCAAGCAGAAAGACUUUCAGUUUGACCCCCCGAAACUAGACGAGCUACUUCGAGGCAGCCUUUGGGCUAACCCGUCUCUGUCGCAAAAGAGUGGGAAGACCUCCAAGUAGGGGUGACAGACCUAACGAGCCUAGUGAUAGCUGGUUACCCAGGAAAAGAAUUUUAGUUCAACCUAAAGUUAGUUUAGCCGGAUAAAGCAAACCCUAUUCUUUAGAGUUAUUCAAAUAAGGUACAGCCUAUUUGAAACAGGACACAACCUACACCAACGGGUAAUUCCCCGACCUAAUAAAUAAGUGGGCCUAAGAGCAGCCACCUUUGAAAUAGCGUCAAAGCUUACUUUGUACAGUCCCCAAUCCCUCAACCCAAUAAAAACCCUUCAUUACUACUGGGUACCUCUAUACCUCCUUAUAGAACUUAUUAUGUUAAAACUAGUAACAAGAAGUUAACCCUUCUCUUAAAUGCAAGUGUACAUCAGAAUGGACCAACCACUGUUAAUUAACAUGCCUGAAAACAAAUUAGCAUCUCUGCUAGAAAACCCUACUUAACUCAAUGUUAACCUAACACAAGCGCAUUACAAGAAAGAUUAAAAGAAAAAGAAGGAACUCGGCAAACAUUAGCCUCGCCUGUUUACCAAAAACAUCGCCUCUUGCAUCUCAUAAGAGGUCCAGCCUGCCCAGUGACCAUGUUCAACGGCCGCGGUAUUCUGACCGCGUGAAGGUAGCGUAAUCACUUGUUCUUUAAAUAAGGACUAGUAUGAAUGGCAUCACGAAGGCUACACUGUCUCCUUUUUUCAAUCAGUGAAACUAAUCUCCCCGUGAAGAAGCGGGCAUGAAAAUAUAAGACGAGAAGACCCUAUGGAGCUUAAAACCACUUACAAUUGCUUUACACCUCUCACUAUCUCAGCAUAAUAACCUUUAACCUAGCGAUAUGAUUACGCGUUUUCGGUUGGGGCGACCGCGGGGGAAAAAACAACCCCCACAUUGAACGGAACUAAACCCUGAACAAAAAGCAACAACUUUAUGCACCAAUAUAUUGACACCCCUUGACCCAAUACUUUGAUCAAUGAACCAAGUUACCCUAGGGAUAACAGCGCAAUCCGCCUCAAGAGCCCCUAUCGACAGGCGGGUUUACGACCUCGAUGUUGGAUCAGGGUAUCCUAGUGGCGCAGCCGUUACUAAAGGUUCGUUUGUUCAACGAUUAAAACCCU
RNAcentral lists this ribosomal RNA (1435 nucleotides) under Myersiohyla liliae. RNAcentral's name for it is "partial 16S ribosomal RNA". It matches the Rfam family "Bacterial large subunit ribosomal RNA", at positions 253 to 2597 of the family's 2925-position model. The record is from RNAcentral. Lineage: Eukaryota; Metazoa; Chordata; Amphibia; Anura; Hylidae.